CUCUCCACGCUAAUAAAUUUUUUUCUCCUUAUAUAUAUGACAUUUUGAGGAUAUUUUUUAUGAAAGAUUAGUGGGAAAAUUGAUUUAUUAUAAAAAAUAUAGGAAAAGGCAUCCUAUAUUUUGUUGGUAUAUUUUGAGACAUAGAAUUGUGAAGGAAGGUGGAAUCUUGUAAAAGUCCAAGAUCAUUAGGACUCUUCACCCCACCUCCUUA
Molecule: long non-coding RNA, 211 nt
Filed under: Elaeis guineensis (African oil palm)
Lineage: Eukaryota; Viridiplantae; Streptophyta; Magnoliopsida; Arecales; Arecaceae
Description: long non-coding RNA (EGUI_LNC075788)
Source: RNAcentral